Molecule: ribosomal RNA, 373 nt
Filed under: uncultured organism
Description: partial 16S ribosomal RNA
Rfam family: Bacterial small subunit ribosomal RNA
Source: RNAcentral
GGAGGGUGCAAGCGUUAAUCGGACUUACUGGGCGUAAAGGGCACGUAGGCGGUAGAUUAAGUUGUAUGUGAAAGACCUGGGCUCAACCUAGGAAUGGCAUAUAGUACUGGUUUACUAGAGUGAAGUAGAGGAUAGCGGAAUUUCCGGUGUAGCGGUGAAAUGCGUAGAUAUCGGAAAGAACACCAGAGGCGAAGGCGGCUAUCUGGGCUUUUACUGACGCUGAGGUGCGAAAGCGUGGGUAUCGAACAGGGAUUAGAUACCCUGGUAGUCCACGCUGUAAACGAUGAGGACUAGCUGUUGGGAAACCAUGAGUUUUUCAGUAGCGUAGCUAACGCGAGAAGUUCUCCGCCUGGGGAUUACGGCCGCAAGGCUA